RNAcentral lists this long non-coding RNA (281 nucleotides) under Canis lupus familiaris (dog). RNAcentral's name for it is "lncRNA (ENSCAFG00040021393.1)". Lineage: Eukaryota; Metazoa; Chordata; Mammalia; Carnivora; Canidae. The record is from RNAcentral.
GAUGUAGCAGGCAUCUUGCAACCAUAAGAUGACAGGUGCUGUUUUUCAACCCUAAAUUUUUGAUCAAGAAUGAAACUAUUUAAAAAUUAGGAUGUCAACAGAUCACGAAGAGCCCUGUGGUCCCAAUCACAGGUCAUUUUGCCUGAAUGGAGGGAUUUGUUAAGUGAUACCUACUAUUCCCAGCCCAUUUAGUAGGUAAGUGAAAUGGACUGAGGUGGGGAAGGGUAAUUUUAUUUUUUAUCGUCUACUAACUUCUUUGAGAAGUGGUUAAUAUUGAACAA